This 970-nucleotide ribosomal RNA is filed under the name Cladonia incrassata. RNAcentral describes it as "SSU rRNA". It matches the Rfam family "Bacterial small subunit ribosomal RNA", at positions 370 to 1298 of the family's 1533-position model. The record is from RNAcentral. Lineage: Eukaryota; Fungi; Ascomycota; Lecanoromycetes; Lecanorales; Cladoniaceae.
AAUAGCCUAACGGCUGAACCAGCAACUUGGAAGAAUGUAUAGCAAUAGCUGAUUGCACCAACAAACAGUUGAUGCAAAAUUGAUUAUAUCAAAUAAAAUUCUAGGUAGAUUUUUGAUAAUGACAUUGCUUACCUAAGUCUUGACCAAAUUACGUGCCAGCAGUCGCGGUAAUACGUAAAAGACUAGUGUUAUUCAUCUUUAAUUGGUUUAAAGGGUACCUAGACAGCGAAUAAAGCCAUAGUAGGGACUAAUUCGCUAGAGUUACUUAUGAGGGGGUAUUAAAGUACUGCAGGUGUAGAGAUGAAAUUUUGUUAUACCUCUUUUCGUAUGAGAAACUAUGGCACAGGUAUAGGUGAAAGCAUCCCCUUAUGUGAUAACUGACGUUGAGGGACGAAGGCUUUUUGUCGCGAACAGGAUUAGAUACCCCAGUAGUCAAAGCAGAAAAUGAUGAAUGUCAUAGAUUAGAUAUACAAUUUAUUCUAUAAAUGAAAGUGUAAGCAUUCCACCUCAAGAGUAAUUUGGCAACAUUGGAACUGAAAUCAUUAGACCGUUUCUGAAACCAGUAGUGAAGUAUGUUGUUUAAUUUGAUGAUACGCAAAAAACCUUACCACAAUUUGAAUAUUUAUACUUAUCUUUUAUUGAUUUUUACUAACAUAUAUGUAAAUUAUUAAAAUGAUGCUUAAAUCUCGUUUGUGAGAUUGAGUAUGAAAAAAGAUAAUAUAUUUACAAGCGUUGCACGGCUGUCUUCAGUUAAUGUCGUGAGAUUUUGGUUAGUUCCAUUAAAUUAACGUAAACCCUUACUUUAUUUUUAUAUAAAGUAGUUCUCCGCUAUAUUGGAUAUGAUAACAGGGACUAAGACAAGUCAUCAUGGCCUGAAUAUUGUGGGCUAUAGACGUGCCACAUAAACCUUACAAAAGGAUGUGAAAUUGUGAAAUUGAGCUAAUCCUCCAAAAAUGGAUAAACAUUUAAU